GAUGAACGCUGGCGGCGUGCCUAAUACAUGCAAGUCGAGCGAACGGACGAGAAGCUUGCUUCUCUGAUGUUAGCGGCGAACGGGUGAGUAACACGUGGAUAACCUACCUAUAAGACUGGGAUAAAUUCGGGAAACCGGAGCUAAUACCGGAUAAUAUUUUGAACCGCAUGGUUCAAAAGUGAAAGACGGUCUUGCUGUCACUUAUAGAUGGAUCCGCGCUGCAUUAGCUAGUUGGUAAGGUAACGGCUUACCAAGGCAACGAUGCAUAGCCGACCUGAGAGGGUGAUCUGCCACACUGGAACUGAGACACGGUCAAGACUCCUACGGGAGGCAGCAGUAGGGAAUCUUCGGCAAUGGGCGAAAGCCUGACGGAGCAACGCCGCGUGAGUGAUGAAGGUCUUCGGAUCGUAAAACUCUGUUAUUAGGGAAGAACAUAUGUGUAAGUAACUGUGCACAUCUUGACGGUACCUAAUCAGAAAGCCACGGCUAACUACGUG
RNAcentral lists this ribosomal RNA (497 nucleotides) under uncultured bacterium. RNAcentral's name for it is "partial 16S ribosomal RNA". It matches the Rfam family "Bacterial small subunit ribosomal RNA", at positions 28 to 507 of the family's 1533-position model. The record is from RNAcentral.